RNAcentral lists this ribosomal RNA (500 nucleotides) under uncultured bacterium. Its description in RNAcentral is "partial 16S ribosomal RNA". It matches the Rfam family "Bacterial small subunit ribosomal RNA", at positions 30 to 523 of the family's 1533-position model. The record is from RNAcentral.
AUUGAACGCUGGCGGCAGGCCUAACACAUGCAAGUCGAGCGGAUGACGGGAGCUUGCUCCUUGAUUCAGCGGCGGACGGGUGAGUAAUGCCUAGGAAUCUGCCUGGUAGUGGGGGACAACGUUUCGAAAGGAACGCUAAUACCGCAUACGUCCUACGGGAGAAAGCAGGGGACCUUCGGGCCUUGCGCUAUCAGAUGAGCCUAGGUCGGAUUAGCUAGUUGGUGGGGUAAUGGCUCACCAAGGCGACGAUCCGUAACUGGUCUGGGAGGAUGAUCCGUCACACUGGAACUGAAACACGGUCCAGACUCCUACGGGAGUCAGCAGUGGGGAAUAUUGGACAAUGGGCGAAAGCCUGAUCCAGCCAUGCCGCGUGUGUGAAGAAGGUCUUCGGAUUGUAAAGCACUUUAAGUUGGGAGGAAGGGCAGUAAGUUAAUACCUUGCUGUUUUGACGUUACCGACAGAAUAAGCACCGGCUAACUCUGUGCCAGCCGCCGCGGUAA